CUUCUGUCAGUCUUGUGGUGUGAUCAUUACCCAACCAAUAAUUGAAGGCUCAAAUGAGGGGGUUUGGUCAGGUACUAUAUUACAAGACGCUAAAAGCACAUUAUACUCGGCUUCAUGACCUGUCUACAUUAAUCAUACAGUGAGACAGAAUCAGGAGACUGUGAAUGGAAUACUUCAAGAGCGCUCGGCUUGAUCAUUAAAGAUGUUUUCCCACAACAGAUCAAUUCCAAUAUAAGAAGACUUGCAAAAUAAAACUAAAAAAAGGUGAAAAGAGGCAUUGCGAAUAAAGCUCCACAUCUACUAGCUGUCAACAUCUCACACAAGGUCGUCCAUAUUGCUCCGAAUGUAGCAGACUCAAGUGUAUGGAGCAUGACCACCAAGACUUCUGAUUGGCUGCGGCAGUGAAGAGACAUCCGCUGCUCAUGUAAUACCAGAGAGCCAACAGAAGACAUCCACUGCUAAACACUGGAGGCAGAACGGGAGAUGAGCGUGGGAACAGUGUAGGAACAGAGGCAGAGAUUACAUCCUCCACGAGGUGCAAGAGGAAAAGGGAAAAGAAGCCAACAGGAAGAAAUCCGUCAUUGCCUUUAUCUUGUAGCCUGACAGCUGGAAACUGUCUGGUAAAUCUCAGAACUGCUGACAAGACCCUGCUGCCUGGAAGGAGUUACAGAACAUUUAUGCAGAUGGACAUAUUCAAGAAGAAACCAACCCUAGUGUUCUGGACAAGUAACGCCUGCCUUGCAUAUUACUGACAAGAGCAAAAUGUAAUGCUGUACUUACUGUUAUAAACUAAAUGAAGGCAGCUUUGG
Molecule: long non-coding RNA, 809 nt
Organism: Hyla sarda
Lineage: Eukaryota; Metazoa; Chordata; Amphibia; Anura; Hylidae
Exons: 6
Source: RefSeq, a predicted model, not a curated record